RNAcentral lists this transfer RNA (76 nucleotides) under Aeromonas caviae. RNAcentral describes it as "tRNA-Val". It matches the Rfam family "tRNA". From Rfam's summary of the family: Transfer RNA (tRNA) molecules are approximately 80 nucleotides in length. Their secondary structure includes four short double-helical elements and three loops (D, anti-codon, and T loops). Further hydrogen bonds mediate the characteristic L-shaped molecular structure. tRNAs have two regions of fundamental functional importance: the anti-codon, which is responsible for specific mRNA codon recognition, and the 3' end, to which the tRNAs corresponding amino acid is attached (by aminoacyl-tRNA synthetases). tRNAs cope with the degeneracy of the genetic code in two manners: having more than one tRNA (with a specific anti-codon) for a particular amino acid; and 'wobble' base-pairing, i.e. permitting non-standard base-pairing at the 3rd anti-codon position. The record is from RNAcentral. Lineage: Bacteria; Pseudomonadati; Pseudomonadota; Gammaproteobacteria; Aeromonadales; Aeromonadaceae.
GGUCGUUUAGCUCAGCUGGGAGAACACCUCCCUUACAAGGAGGGGGUCACUGGUUCGAGCCCAGUAACGACCACCA